Long non-coding RNA from Crotalus tigris (Tiger rattlesnake), 302 nucleotides. RefSeq lists it as uncharacterized. The transcript has 3 exons. NCBI's taxonomy places the organism in Eukaryota, Metazoa, Chordata, Lepidosauria, Squamata, Viperidae. The record is from RefSeq and is a predicted model, not a curated record.
CCUCGACGAAGACACCGUCGUUGGGCAUUCCCUAUGAAAAGGAAAAGAGGAGACAGGGAAUGCCCAACGACAGUGUCAUCGGGUAGGCGGAUUCUGCCGUGUCGCCCAAUGUCCUCCUACAACUUCUGAAAUUGGUCAGCUGGGCUGUGAGCCACUACUGAAGUGCUGUAGAAGGGAAAGGGGAAAAUAAUGCCAUCUCCAUCUACGACCAUGGAUAUCUUCAAGACAUGGCCAAGGACCUGAGAUUGCCACCUGCUAUCGCUUUAUCUUUCUUUAUAUAAAUAAAAUUGCUACCCAUCAAA